This 73-nucleotide transfer RNA is filed under the name Ixodes scapularis (black-legged tick). RNAcentral's name for it is "tRNA-Lys for anticodon CUU". It matches the Rfam family "tRNA". Rfam says of the family: Transfer RNA (tRNA) molecules are approximately 80 nucleotides in length. Their secondary structure includes four short double-helical elements and three loops (D, anti-codon, and T loops). Lineage: Eukaryota; Metazoa; Arthropoda; Arachnida; Ixodida; Ixodidae. The record is from RNAcentral.
GCGCGGCUAGCUCAGUCGGUAGAGCAGAAGACUCUUAAUCUCGGGGUUGUGGGUUCGAGCCCCACGUAGGGCG